Molecule: ribosomal RNA, 107 nt
Filed under: Bacillus paralicheniformis
Lineage: Bacteria; Bacillati; Bacillota; Bacilli; Caryophanales; Bacillaceae
Description: partial 23S ribosomal RNA
Rfam family: Bacterial large subunit ribosomal RNA
Source: RNAcentral
CGCAAGGAAGUAAGAUCCCUGAAAGAUGAUCAGGUUGAUAGGUCUGAGGUGGAAGUGUGGCGACACAUGGAGCUGACAGAUACUAAUCGAUCGAGGACUUAACCUAA